UGGGGAAUUUUGGACAAUGGGGGCAACCGUGAUCCAGCAAUGCCGCGUGUGUGAAGAAGGCCUUCGGGUUGUAAAGCACUUUUGUCCGGAAAGAAAACGUCGUGGUUAAUACCCGUGGCGGCUGACGGUACCGGAAGAAUAAGCACCGGCUAACUACGUGCCAGCAGCCGCGGUAAUACGUAGGGUGCAAGCGUUAAUCGGAAUUACUGGGCGUAAAGCGUGCGCAGGCGGUCCGCUAAGACAGAUGUGAAAUCCCCGGGCUUAACCUGGGAACUGCAUUUGUGACUGGCGGGCUAGAGUAUGGCAGAGGGGGGUAGAAUUCCACGUGUAGCAGUGAAAUGCGUAGAGAUGUGGAGGAAUACCGAUGGCGAAGGCAGCCCCCUGGGCCAAUACUGACGCUCAUGCACGAAAGCGUGGGGGAGCAAACAGGAUUCAGAUA
Molecule: ribosomal RNA, 439 nt
Filed under: uncultured bacterium
Lineage: Bacteria
Description: partial 16S ribosomal RNA
Rfam family: Bacterial small subunit ribosomal RNA
Source: RNAcentral